Molecule: ribosomal RNA, 322 nt
Filed under: Cordylus minor
Lineage: Eukaryota; Metazoa; Chordata; Lepidosauria; Squamata; Cordylidae
Description: partial 16S large subunit ribosomal RNA
Source: RNAcentral
GCCAAGAAAAAGCCCAGUCAAACCACCAAACAUUAUAAGUCCAAAAACCAAACCAUUUGACUAAAAAAGUAUUUGAGAAAGAACUUAAAAACCGGAGCAAAAUUACCGCAAGGGAAAACUGAAAGAUUUAUGAAAUACUAAAGCAUAACAAAGCAAAGACUAACCCUUGUACCUCUCGCAUCAUGAUCUAGCAAGCAGACCCAGACAAAGAGCCCUUAAGCCUGUCCACCCGAAACUGCGUGAGCUACUUUAGGGCAAUAAUACGAAUCAACUCGUCUCUGUGGCAAAAGAGUGAGAUGACCUUAAAGUAGAGUGAAAAGCC